Molecule: ribosomal RNA, 468 nt
Filed under: uncultured bacterium
Lineage: Bacteria
Description: partial 16S ribosomal RNA
Rfam family: Bacterial small subunit ribosomal RNA (bases 53-468)
Source: RNAcentral
GGGGGGGGGGGGGGGGGGGGGGGGGAGGGGCAGGUCGAAGGGUGGAGGGGGAGCUGGCUGUGCUGGAUGAGUGGCGAACGGGUGAGUAACAGGUGAGCAAUCUGCCCCUGACUCUGGGAUAAGCGCUGGAGACGGCGUCUAAUACUGGAUGCGAGCUGCGAAGGCAUCUUCAGCAGCUGGAACGAAUGUCGGUCAGGGAUGAGCUCGCGGCCUAUCAGCUUGUUGGUGAGGUAAUGGCUCACCAAGGCGUCGACGGGUAGCCGGACUGAGAGGGUGACCGGCCACACUGGGACUGAGACACGGCCCAGACUCCUACGGGAGGCAGCAGUGGGGAAUAUUGCACAAUGGGCGAAAGCCUGAUGCAGCAACGCCGCGUGAGGGACGACGGCCUUCGGGUUGUAAACCUCUUUUAGCAGGGAAGAAGCGAAAGUGACGGUACCUGCAGAAAAAGCGCCGGCUAACUACGUG